AGCUCCAAUAGCGUAUAUUAAAGUUGUUGCGGUUAAAAAGCUCGUAGUUGGAUCUCAGUCCAAGUGUUGCGGUCCACCAAGCGGUGGUUACUGACUUCACUGGGCACUUUACCGAUUUUCGUCUCUUGUUGCCCUUCACCGGGUGACCUGAGCGAUCGGUUUGUUUACUUUGAAAAAAUUAGAGUGCUCAAAGCAGGCCAGUUGUGCCCGAAUAAUGUUGCAUGGAAUAAUGGAAUAGGACCUCGGUUCUAUUUUGUUGGUCUUCGGAACCUGAGGUAAUGAUUAAGAGGGACAGACGGGGGCAUUCGUAUUGCGACGCUAGAGGUGAAAUUCUUGGACCGUCGCAAGACGAACCAAAGCGAAAGCAUUUGCCAAGAAUGUUUUCA
Molecule: ribosomal RNA, 386 nt
Filed under: uncultured eukaryote
Lineage: Eukaryota
Description: SSU rRNA
Rfam family: Eukaryotic small subunit ribosomal RNA
Source: RNAcentral